AUUGAACGCUGGCGGAAUGCUUUACACAUGCAAGUCGAACGGCAGCACGGGGGCCGCCCUGGUGGCGUGUGGCGGACGGGUGAGUAAUUCACCGGAACGUGCCCGGCCUUGGGGGCUAACGUAGCGAAGGUUACGCUAAUCCCGCAUCCGAUCUGAGGUUGAAACCGGGGGACCUUCAGGCCUCGCGCGAUCUGCGCGGCCGUUGUCAGAUUAGCUAGUUGGUAGGGUAAAGGCCUACCAAGACGACGAUCCGUAGCUGGCCUGAGAGGCCGACCAGCCACACUGGGACUGAGACACGGCCCAGACUCCUACGGGAGGCAGCAGUGGGGAAUUUUGGGCAAUGGGCGCAAGCCUGAUCCAGCAAUGCCGCGUGCAGGACGAAGGCCUUCGGGUCGUAAACUGCUGUUGUACGGAACGAAAAGGCUCUGGCGAAUACCUGGGGCUCAUGACGGUACCGUAAGAAUAAGCACCGGCUAACUACGUG
RNAcentral lists this ribosomal RNA (484 nucleotides) under uncultured bacterium. Its description in RNAcentral is "partial 16S ribosomal RNA". It matches the Rfam family "Bacterial small subunit ribosomal RNA", at positions 28 to 507 of the family's 1533-position model. The record is from RNAcentral.